Jaculus jaculus (lesser Egyptian jerboa) is the source of this 1704-nucleotide long non-coding RNA. RefSeq lists it as uncharacterized. Lineage: Eukaryota; Metazoa; Chordata; Mammalia; Rodentia; Dipodidae. The record is from RefSeq and is a predicted model, not a curated record. The transcript has 3 exons.
GCCCGCUCCGCGCCCCGUCCCCGAGGGCCGGCGAUGCGCCCAUCCCGGAAAUCGUCGUCGAGGAGGACAAACUUUUGAGUGGAUGAACACCCACAGGAGCAGGUCCAAAGCAGGAUUGCUGACAUGACCACUGCUGGACCCAGCUUUCGUAAGCCUGUCGUGGGGACCUGUGGACCCAACACUGAUACCUUCAAGUAGGGGGAAAGCCCCCGUGAUGGAGCCCAGUUGAAGGCGUGGAGAAGGAAUGGCAUGAAGGAGGCUGGGGAGGGGCAGCUUUAGGCCAUAUGCUCGCUGCAGAGAGAGCUUAGAAACAAAGGAAGAUGGCAAGAAGGCCCAGGAAAACUGCCCGAUGCACUAGAAAAAUUCAGAGCAACAAAGAUGAGAUCGGGAGAGAGGAAAAGAUCUGAGAAAGCCCAAAAGCGCAGCAAAAGGAAGAGAUUUGUGGAGGCCAACAGGGCUAGACGUGUGCAAGAAAGGAAUAGUGAUAGAAAACAAAAAUGAAGAGCAGGCUCUGCUGCUCUGAGACGCGCAGGCUGGCUGCCGUGGCGCUGAUGCAGGUGCUGGGAUACCAAGAAGAGCUGCUACGUGGGAGAACAGCUUGACGACCAACCUGCUUUCUGGAGUUUCUCUGUCAAUUGUGAUCUUGACCUUCACGUGCCCUUGCUUCACUGCGGACAGGUCCUCACCGUCCUGCCCGUCCUGGCUCUUGGGAAGAGUCAUUUUGGUGCUCCCAAGCCAACUGCUCUCCUAGGGCAAGUGAUGCAGUUUGGAGACUCAAACUAACCAGCUAAGCAUACUCCCUUUCACCAGUGCAUUUAGGGGUCCUCUCUCCUUCGCAAAGAGGCUAGGACGUGCUGGCUCCUGGCCAUUUGAAUGUGAAUUGCCCCAUUAGCCAGGCCCACUACCAUCCACAUCUGCUUGCUGGGGAAAAAAAUAAAAAACAGAGACGCCUGUUCCAGGUAAUUUAGAGGGCAUGUAGACUGUCUGCCCAGAGCCAUCUCCCACCCCAGCCUGGCCCUGCAGGGAAGCAGAAACCCAAUGCACCUCACUUCACAGGAGCCGGGAUCUCAGGCAGAGCAGCAGAUGCCAUGCCAGAGCCAGCCAGCCAAAAUCCAACUCCUGUCCUUGGAUUCCAUGAUGCCUCUGGUUGUUUUUCUCUUCUGUUUGGAGGUGGUGGGGGACCGGGAAAUUAUGUUUCUGCCCACGACCCUCUCAUCCUUCCCUGUGGCCCUGCAACCUCAAAUCUACCGACCGGGAUGAACUAAGUACAGCUUCCAGCCUGGGCUCGCAAUCAAAGCAAAUUCAAAUUCUCUUCUGGGCAGAAGGGCAGCUGCUCCUUCUCAUAGGCCCUUGCACAUUGAUCUGUUCUGAGGGCACCCCAGGGUCAGAAGAGAGACCAGACUGCUUUAAUUGGUGUAGAAUUAGCAUUUCCUAGCACACCAAACACCAGGAUUUCCCACACCAAGGAAUCAGAGGUUCUCAUCCAGACUCACCACACCUGUUCUCUGACCCCUCGAGCCAGCCAUGAUUCCUCAUUUGUUGAGGUGCAGGACUAGAAGGGAAAUCAGGCAAUUUGCUCUGUUUCCGCAGUCAAUAGCUGCAGCUGCUCACUCCAUUAAUAUUUUUUUCUGUGCCCACCAUAGGCAAAGCAUUGCAUACCUCAGUUUGCUAUGACUAUCAGAAGAUUUUUGUCAUUCUGAGAUC